RNAcentral lists this transfer RNA (73 nucleotides) under Stegodyphus dumicola. RNAcentral's name for it is "tRNA-Lys". It matches the Rfam family "tRNA". Rfam says of the family: Transfer RNA (tRNA) molecules are approximately 80 nucleotides in length. Their secondary structure includes four short double-helical elements and three loops (D, anti-codon, and T loops). The record is from RNAcentral. Lineage: Eukaryota; Metazoa; Arthropoda; Arachnida; Araneae; Eresidae.
GCCUUCAUGGUGUAAUGGUCAGCACGCUCGACUCUUAUUCGAGAGGUCCGUGGUUUGAGUCCUGGCGAGGGCA